RNAcentral lists this ribosomal RNA (248 nucleotides) under uncultured Barnesiella sp. RNAcentral's name for it is "partial 16S ribosomal RNA". It matches the Rfam family "Bacterial small subunit ribosomal RNA", at positions 524 to 771 of the family's 1533-position model. Lineage: Bacteria; Pseudomonadati; Bacteroidota; Bacteroidia; Bacteroidales; Barnesiellaceae. The record is from RNAcentral.
UACGGAGGAUGCAAGCGUUAUCCGGAUUUAUUGGGUUUAAAGGGUGCGUAGGCGGCACGCCAAGUCAGCGGUGAAAUUUCCGGGCUCAACCCGGACUGUGCCGUUGAAACUGGCGAGCUAGAGUGCACAAGAGGCAGGCGGAAUGCGUGGUGUAGCGGUGAAAUGCAUAGAUAUCACGCAGAACCCCGAUUGCGAAGGCAGCCUGCUAGGGUGCGACAGACGCUGAGGCACGAAAGCGUGGGUAUCGA